CUCUUAAUUCGAAAGAAAUAAGAAUGAAAAUCCUUAUGACUACAUUGAGUGUAUAUACAAUAUAUACUCAAGGAAAUGGUAAAGUACCAUUUGAUCCGAAAUAAUGAAACCUCCAUAGCUAAUUGGUAGCUUAAGGUGACUACAAUUAAAGAGAUUGGUUGACUUGGAAGAAACCAUCUUUGACGUAGUCUUGGUUUCAAUUAAUUCGAAGAUUGCUAGCUAUAACUAAAUGGUGAUUCAAUGUUUGGACAUAAUAUGGGUUUCCGAAACCAUUAUUAAGAUAGUCUUGAUAAUAUAUGUCUAAAACUAUGAAUCACAAGACAUGUAAGUUGUAGAGAUCCAACCAUCAUGGAUCUUAGCAAGCUAGUGGGAGUUAUAAGCGUCUUAUGAGAGAAAGAUCAAAUCAAUUGAUUUCUCAUAAAGAUGUAAAUUAAUCUUUUGUUUACUAAGUUUACAAAAGAUUAGUGGGAGUUAAUCAUAUUCCUAAAAUUGAAUAUAUAUGAUGUAUUAAUUUUGGAAAUGAAAAGAAUACUUCUUCGUUAAAGUUAUGACUUUAAACAUUCUAUAACGAUAGAAUGUAUAUGGGAGAUAUAGUCUAAAUACAUGGGAUAGAAAUCUAUAAUGAUAUAUUUCAAGAUAUAAUUGGAUUAUAUCAAUCCCUAAUAAUAGACAAAAGAUGCUAGGAAGUUUCUCAUAUGAUGAUAAACUUCAAUUAGAAUGACGACUCUAGUGAGACUAGCAAGUUGCCCUUCUCAAAGGGAACGUACCCUUUGACUCCCAAAGAAAUAAUGCGUAAAUAGAAUCCUUUAUGCAUACGCAGAAAGGUGAUUUAUGUAUUUCAUAUUGUAUGAAAAACAUUGAUAUGAGUUCUACCUAGAAAGGUACAAGACGAUAUCAGUGCAAGCCCAGGAUCAGAACCAUGGCAACUGUCAAGUGAGUCCUUGAGUAUUUAAGAAAUACUAAAGGAU
RNAcentral lists this long non-coding RNA (968 nucleotides) under Malus domestica (apple). RNAcentral's name for it is "long non-coding RNA (MDOM_LNC008604)". The record is from RNAcentral. Lineage: Eukaryota; Viridiplantae; Streptophyta; Magnoliopsida; Rosales; Rosaceae.